GUUGAAGAACGUAGCGAAAUGCGAUACUUGGUGUGAAUUGCAGAAUCCCGUGAACCAUCGAGUCUUUGAACGCAAGUUGCGCCUCAAGCCAUUAGGUUGAGGGCACGUCUGCCUGGGCGUCACAUAUCGUUGACUGAUGCCAGUUUCCUCGUGAUGGGUGACUGUGCAGGGCGAAUGAUGGCUUCCCGUGAGCAUUGUUGCCUCAUGGUUGGUUGAAAAUUGAGUCCUUGGUAGGGAGCGCCGUGAUAGAUGGUGGUUGAGUGACGAACGAGACCCAAUCAUGUGAGACCCCUACCGAAUUUGGCCUUCAUGACCCACAUGCGUCUUUGGAACGCUCAUGACGAGACCUCAGGUCAGGCGGGGCUACCCGCUGAGUUUAAGCAUAUCAAUAAGCGGAGGA
Molecule: unclassified non-coding RNA, 400 nt
Filed under: soil metagenome
Description: partial contains 5.8S ribosomal RNA, internal transcribed spacer 2, and large subunit ribosomal RNA
Rfam family: 5.8S ribosomal RNA (bases 1-122)
Source: RNAcentral